Molecule: long non-coding RNA, 545 nt
Organism: Tachysurus fulvidraco (yellow catfish)
Lineage: Eukaryota; Metazoa; Chordata; Actinopteri; Siluriformes; Bagridae
Exons: 3
Source: RefSeq, a predicted model, not a curated record
UUAUUUUUUAUUUCGAUUCACAAUACCACAUAGUUUACCAAUAUGAUAAAUAAAUGGUAAAUAAUACCACACAAUGCCAGAGUCCAACAGUCCAACAAUUUCUUUGUGUAUUACAUAGCAGUUGAUUAAAGUCAGGUUUUAAUGUGCAGGGGUUGAAGUGGGAAGAGGAAGAGGCCUGCUCUGGGUGCCAUGAAUGUGGAAACUGAACUAUCGUCAUAUGUAGUGACAGAUUACCAUUACAGGAAACCUAGUGUUAUAGCAUGCAGACAUGGUAGUCAUGAUACUGAACUCAUGAUACUGUCAAGACAAUACAAUGAAGGGUUACAGCCUACAGAUUGCACAAUGGAACAAUUGCUGUAGUUGAAGGAAUACAAAUAGAAAAACAUUUUGUAUGAAGCAUUGUGAAAUCCCAUAUCACCAACAACAGCAUUAUGUACAGUACUUUGCAAAAGUUUUAGGCAGGUGUGAAAAAAUGCUGCAAACAAAGAAUGCUUUCAAAAAUGGAAGUGUUAAACAUUUAUUUUCAUAAAUGAACAAAAUGCAGU